CCAGAGAACUUAGCAGAGAUGCUUUGGUGCCUUCGGGAACUCUGAGACAGGUGCUGCAUGGCUGUCGUCAGCUCGUGUUGUGAAAUGUUGGGUUAAGUCCCGCAACGAGCGCAACCCUUAUCCUUUGUUGCCAGCGGCUCGGCCGGGAACUCAAAGGAGACUGCCGGUGAUAAACCGGAGGAAGGUGGGGAUGACGUCAAGUCAUCAUGGCCCUUACGGCCAGGGCUACACACGUGCUACAAUGGCGCAUACAAAGAGAAGCGACCUCGCGAGAGCAAGCGGACCUCAUAAAGUGCGUCGUAGUCCGGAUUGGAGUCUGCAACUCGACUCCAUGAAGUCGGAAUCGCUAGUAAUCGUAGAUCAGAAUGCUACGGUGAAUACGUUCCCGGGCCUUGUACACACCGCCCGUCACACCAUGGGAGUGGGUUGCAAAAGAAGUAGGUAGCUUAACCUUCGGGAGGGCGCUCACCACUUUGUGAUUCAUGACUGGGGUGAAGUCGUAACAAGGUAAGCGUACUACA
RNAcentral lists this ribosomal RNA (521 nucleotides) under uncultured bacterium. Its description in RNAcentral is "bacterial SSU rRNA". It matches the Rfam family "Bacterial small subunit ribosomal RNA", at positions 988 to 1509 of the family's 1533-position model. The record is from RNAcentral.